UCCAGUCUUUCCGUAGGUGAACCUGCGGAAGGAUCAUUA
RNAcentral lists this ribosomal RNA (39 nucleotides) under Aspergillus awamori. RNAcentral describes it as "partial 18S ribosomal RNA". The record is from RNAcentral. Lineage: Eukaryota; Fungi; Ascomycota; Eurotiomycetes; Eurotiales; Aspergillaceae.